GAACCUCGGGGCAUGGGGGAGGGAGGCUGGACAGGAGAGGGCUCACCCAGGCCCUGUCCUCUGCCCCAG
Molecule: microRNA precursor, 69 nt
Organism: Gorilla gorilla gorilla (western lowland gorilla)
Lineage: Eukaryota; Metazoa; Chordata; Mammalia; Primates; Hominidae
Source: Ensembl